Fukomys damarensis (Damara mole-rat) is the source of this 463-nucleotide long non-coding RNA. RefSeq lists it as uncharacterized. The record is from RefSeq and is a predicted model, not a curated record. Lineage: Eukaryota; Metazoa; Chordata; Mammalia; Rodentia; Bathyergidae. The transcript is spliced from 3 exons.
AACACGGGGCAGACUCAGCUCCACCCGCCUUCCCGCGGGCCACACCCAGCUCCUGACGGGAACGGGCCACCGGGAGCCCAACAGCCCGGCGGGUUAAGAGCCCAGAUCAAAGACUUGGUAAAAGAGGAUCUCUAUCUGCAUCCUACAAUCUACAUUGGCCAAACUUGAAGCCAUAAACUUGGAGCCCUGCUGGGUAGAAAUGACCAAAUUACCCAAGCUUAAACCAACAUAAGAGGAGAGUGAGAAACAGCAGCAUGAUCAGGAGCUAAGAUUGGAGCCACAGGUGGCAAGAGGCGUUGUAGGUGACAUCUCUUCAGCUAUCAUUCUUCAAAACAAUGUUUUCCCAUUAUAGAGGAUUCCAAGGCAGGUACCAAGAAAAAUUUAUGUGCUUGAAAGGAUUUUUACCCAUGGCCAGGGAGAAGACCACCUAUACCCCCGCUGAUUAAAAGUCAAUGGAAAACAA